GGGGGGAGCGCUGGAUCCUGGGCUGUGUCCCCCAGUGCCCUGGGCUCUGGGGCCUGCACCGCUGGAAUCGCGCUCCCGGCGGGACAGCCCUCU
Molecule: microRNA precursor, 93 nt
Filed under: Canis lupus familiaris (dog)
Lineage: Eukaryota; Metazoa; Chordata; Mammalia; Carnivora; Canidae
Also listed under: 1 other name
Description: mir-8799 microRNA precursor family
Rfam family: mir-8799 microRNA precursor family
Source: Rfam by way of RNAcentral